UGCUCUCCCCAAGGAGCCUCCUAAGUAGUAGUCGUGCUGACAGGAUCCGUGUGGACCUGAGGAGGAAGUCACAGACAGCAAUUUCCAGGAGGCUGUGUGCUACCGAGAGAAGUCGCUCUCGCCCUAAAGCAGUUGUUGAAUCUUGGUGACCCGCUGUGAAAAAGACGUACCCUCUCCGCUGGCCCUUUGCCACCAGGACCUGAGUGAAUCUUUCUGGAUCUAGCCCAUCUCGGCUGGGUUAGAGAAGCCAUGGAGAGGGCUUUGUGUCCCCACACCCGUGACAAGAGCAGUGUGAGUGCGCCAUUCUGCCCACACACUCUGCUUCACUCAGUUAACGAAACCACCACCCGAGAGGCCCGUAUUCUCCAUCUCUGCUCACGGCAGAAGAAACUGAGGUCCGGAGGCUGGAGAGGUCUGCUCAAGGCCGUCUCUGUACCAAGGUCAGGGGGGCCGCAGGGACAGAAGCCUCUCACAGACUUCCUCAUCUCAGGGGAGGACAGAGAAGACCGGGAGAGGGCUUGCCAGCCGCCAUUGAGACAAUGCCAAUCACCGUGUGCUGGGCACGUUGCCACGUGUGUUUACAAUUCUGUAGCAAUCCUGUAGGUAACAAAGACCCCUGAGUGAAGACCAAGUGAAGUGACAUGCACAGGAGGUGUCAUUUGGAAGCUGGUCCAUGGUGCUGGCUCUCUACUCUCUGCACAAGAACAAAGAAACAGAAUUUGUUCUUGGUCAAGGUUCAGCCUGCAAUUGCUCUCGGUCUCCAAGAUAGCACCUCGUCCCGUCCUUGUCCCCUCCAUGAUGUGUCAACGGGCCCACUCCGGCCCGGCCCAGAGGAGAGCUGGAACUUGCUUCAGUGACCAUGACUUCCACCGCCACAGCAGAACUCCAGGUCACUGCCAGACAACCCGGCCUGCACUCCUUCCCUCCCCCAACGCGAGGCCGCCCCAUGCCCAUGACUAGGGCUUUUUGUGUUUCCCUGCAGUUUGGCGCGCCCUCUGCGUUUCCUGCCAAUAAUGCUGGCUGUUGUUUCUGAGCAAAUGGAACAAAUGACCAACGUG
Long non-coding RNA from Hyaena hyaena (striped hyena), 1058 nucleotides. RefSeq lists it as uncharacterized. The record is from RefSeq and is a predicted model, not a curated record. NCBI's taxonomy places the organism in Eukaryota, Metazoa, Chordata, Mammalia, Carnivora, Hyaenidae. The transcript is spliced from 7 exons.